RNAcentral lists this long non-coding RNA (392 nucleotides) under Equus caballus (horse). RNAcentral's name for it is "lncRNA (ENSECAG00000044766.1)". The record is from RNAcentral. Lineage: Eukaryota; Metazoa; Chordata; Mammalia; Perissodactyla; Equidae.
CCCGGAAUAUCCUUCUUUAACCUUGUGUCUUCUUGAAUUUCUUUCCCCAAACGUUUGCUAAUUUCCGAUUGCCAUAGCUUUCACCUGUUUUGCUAAGGUUCUUCAUAGAGAUCUUAUUCUUCUCACUGGCAAGCUGUUUUUUUUUUUUUUUUAGAUUCAUUUUUCUAUUCUUUGCAAAAUUUAAUUUGGUUUUGUUUUGGCAGAAGUGCAUCGCUGAGCUCACAUCUGCUGGCAAUGCUCCUGUAUUUGCUGUGGAAGUCUGGCCCUGUCUAACGUCCCUGCCCAUCUGCCUCUACACUACCUCGGACGCCUGCUCCAGAAUGACUGAAGCAGUGGUGAGCAGGCUCACCCCAGGAUUCCACCCGGCCCACCCCAGGCCACAGACCCAGAAG